GGGGAUAUAGCUCAGUUGUAGAGCACUUGUUUAGCAUGCAUGAGGCCCUGGAUUCAAUCCCCAAUACCAUCA
RNAcentral lists this transfer RNA (72 nucleotides) under Ictidomys tridecemlineatus (thirteen-lined ground squirrel). RNAcentral's name for it is "Spermophilus tridecemlineatus (thirteen-lined ground squirrel) tRNA". It matches the Rfam family "tRNA". Rfam says of the family: Transfer RNA (tRNA) molecules are approximately 80 nucleotides in length. Their secondary structure includes four short double-helical elements and three loops (D, anti-codon, and T loops). Further hydrogen bonds mediate the characteristic L-shaped molecular structure. tRNAs have two regions of fundamental functional importance: the anti-codon, which is responsible for specific mRNA codon recognition, and the 3' end, to which the tRNAs corresponding amino acid is attached (by aminoacyl-tRNA synthetases). tRNAs cope with the degeneracy of the genetic code in two manners: having more than one tRNA (with a specific anti-codon) for a particular amino acid; and 'wobble' base-pairing, i.e. permitting non-standard base-pairing at the 3rd anti-codon position. The record is from Rfam by way of RNAcentral. Lineage: Eukaryota; Metazoa; Chordata; Mammalia; Rodentia; Sciuridae.